Molecule: long non-coding RNA, 399 nt
Filed under: Cyanistes caeruleus (blue tit)
Lineage: Eukaryota; Metazoa; Chordata; Aves; Passeriformes; Paridae
Description: lncRNA (ENSCCEG00000010803.1)
Source: RNAcentral
UCUUGCUCCCUGUUGAGGAGCCCGGGACAGCGAUGUGCAGAAACACAGUGAAACACAGUUGAAGCUGGAGUUAUCAGCUCACCCGCAGCACCACCCACCUCAACAAACACCAUCACAAGCAGAACAUGUCGCCCUCUGAGGCUUCUCCUUCUGGAAAGACAGCCUGGAAUAGAAAACAGCUCUCACUGUACACAAAAGGGACAAAAGAAAGUGAUCUGGGAAAGAGGAGGAAAAGGAGAAACGAAGGAGCCAUGAGGUGUAUAUUCAAGGAAGACCUGUCUUUCUUUCCCACCCAAAGCCUGAUCUUGCUGAUUAUGUUUCUGAAAGAAGUCAGGAGGGAUAACCCAGCACUAGGCUGAGAGGUAAGUAUCCAAUACGUAAAUUCUUGUUCUCUCUCUC